UUAAAAAUACUAUUUAACAUUAAAUUUAAUUCUGAAGUUUUGGCAAAAAUUGUUUGCUGACACCGAAAAUGUGUUUGGCAUACACAUUUUGUAGGUUAAGGUUGAUCCGUUCAACUAUCAUGUCUAUAGGUACAUACGAACACGUCAUACAACUUGCUUAAGUGAAACAUUGUAAUUUUGGAUUCGGAUCGGAACAAUAUGAAUGUUUAGGAUUCACAUUGAUUCGUAAGGCGUACCAACCUAACUAUAUUUAUUUAUACACAGACGAAGCGAAUAACGAUUAUAAAUGGACAAUGGCGACUGGCGACUAUUUAACGUCUGACAAGUAAACUGUGGGCGAUUGGUCUUUGCCGCCGAAAAGAAAUCCAGUUUGGGAAAGUACAAAAACCUUUGACAAAACCGCCUACCACUAUCUGAUAGACAUAUCCGUGUCGUCUCUUAAAUCAGUGCAUGAGCACCAGCCACCAAGUAAUAACCUCUCAAAAAUAUCAAUAUCGAUUUCCACGAGCGACAACUGGACUUCUUAUGUUAAGUAAAAAUC
This 541-nucleotide long non-coding RNA is filed under the name Acyrthosiphon pisum (pea aphid). RNAcentral's name for it is "uncharacterized LOC115033921, transcript variant X1". The record is from RNAcentral. Lineage: Eukaryota; Metazoa; Arthropoda; Insecta; Hemiptera; Aphididae.